UUGGUGUGAAUUGCAGAAUCCCGUGAACCAUCGAGUCUUUGAACGCAAGUUGCGCCUAAAGCCAUUAGGCCGAGGGCACGUCUGCCUGGGCGUCACGC
Molecule: ribosomal RNA, 98 nt
Filed under: Rhoogeton cyclophyllus
Lineage: Eukaryota; Viridiplantae; Streptophyta; Magnoliopsida; Lamiales; Gesneriaceae
Description: partial 5.8S ribosomal RNA
Rfam family: 5.8S ribosomal RNA
About the family: 5.8S ribosomal RNA (5.8S rRNA) is a component of the large subunit of the eukaryotic ribosome. It is transcribed by RNA polymerase I as part of the 45S precursor that also contains 18S and 28S rRNA.
Source: RNAcentral